UAUAAGAGAGAUUUUUUUUAUAAAAUUAAAUUUCCCACAACUUUUGUUUGAAAACUUUUAUGAUAAGACCAAUAUUUUCGCCGUAAUAUCAAACAUUAGAACCAUUCAUUUCAAAAUUAAGGCAAAAAUCUUGUCCCUACUGAUUAUUAAUUAUUUUAUUAAAAAUAUAAUCACUCAUUUAUUAAUUAAUUAGAUUAUUUUAAAAGUAUGGGUUAUUUAUGAUUGACUUUUAAAAAUUAUCGGACCUCAGCCGGGCUAUUAAUCCGGUUCCACUGGGCACUUAAAAAUAAUCGAGGAUUAAAAUAAAUUUCCGGUUGAUGUAUCUAUGAUGUCGGUGACCACCCCUGACCCACUUGUGAAACUUGGAGCAGAACCCAAACUCUGAUAAUUUCAUUGGUACAAAAAAGGGGAAAUUUGAAAUUCGGUCUAAAAUUACAAGAUUAGUAAAUAAAAUUUCAUAAAAAUAUUUUUUGAAAUUUAUCACACGAGUUUUAAAUUUUGUAUAGACUACA
This is a long non-coding RNA of Microplitis mediator, 512 nucleotides long. RefSeq lists it as uncharacterized. The transcript is spliced from 3 exons. NCBI's taxonomy places the organism in Eukaryota, Metazoa, Arthropoda, Insecta, Hymenoptera, Braconidae. The record is from RefSeq and is a predicted model, not a curated record.